This 301-nucleotide long non-coding RNA is filed under the name Phoenix dactylifera (date palm). RNAcentral describes it as "long non-coding RNA (PDAC_LNC020331)". Lineage: Eukaryota; Viridiplantae; Streptophyta; Magnoliopsida; Arecales; Arecaceae. The record is from RNAcentral.
UUCAUCUUCAUCUCCUCUGCUUUCGGAUUACCUCUCAACCAUCCAGCCGAGAUCUACUCUGCAUCUUCCCACGAUUGCAGCUUUCCUCCCAACCUCCGAAUCCAACUCCACCCCAUCCUGUUUCUUCAACGUCCUCGUCACCCCCUGCAGCCGAAGAUCAAACAACAGACUUCCGGAUCAACUACCAGCUCACCUUCCUCUGCUUCGGAAUCAAAUCCCAACAGCAUACCAACUCAAGGAUUAAGCUAACUUCAAUGAAAUUAGUUCCCAGACUAUAAUCCCAACGCCCGGAUUAAAUCUU